This 152-nucleotide unclassified non-coding RNA is filed under the name Senecio hochstetteri. RNAcentral's name for it is "partial trnL-trnF intergenic spacer". Lineage: Eukaryota; Viridiplantae; Streptophyta; Magnoliopsida; Asterales; Asteraceae. The record is from RNAcentral.
CUAUCCCCAAAAAGACCAUUUGACUCCCUAAUUAUUUAUCGUAUCCUUUUUAUUUAUCCUUUUUCGUUAGCGGUUCAAAACUCCUUAUCUUUCUCAUUCACUACUCUUUAUACAAAUGGAUCUGAACGGAAAUACUGUUCUGUUAUCACAUC